Molecule: long non-coding RNA, 287 nt
Organism: Brienomyrus brachyistius
Lineage: Eukaryota; Metazoa; Chordata; Actinopteri; Osteoglossiformes; Mormyridae
Exons: 4
Source: RefSeq, a predicted model, not a curated record
CGGCGCCCCUGCCAAGGAAAAGUGCUUACAGGAAAAAACAAAGCAACCGCUCAGUUGAGCAUUCUGAAACAGCUAAUGAAUCUGACCAAGAAAGUGUGGGAUUUCUUGGACAAGAGACAAAGCAACUGAAGAUUUCAGAUGAAUUAUUUGAAGCCCAUGGCCCUGAUGUACAUGAUGAAAAUCAAACAGAUGUCGUACAGUUACAGGAAGAAAAAUGCACAUUACACAUUGCAGAAGCUGACACUCAACAAAGUAAUGAAGAUGGUAAUGAUGAACGCGAGAUCCAU